Molecule: ribosomal RNA, 553 nt
Filed under: uncultured organism
Description: SSU rRNA
Rfam family: Eukaryotic small subunit ribosomal RNA
Source: RNAcentral
UACGGCUUUAUCGCCGUAUAAUUGGAAUGAGUACAAUUUAAAUCCCUUAACGAGGAACAAUUGGAGGGCAAGUCUGGUGCCAGCAGCCGCGGUAAUUCCAGCUCCAAUAGCGUAUAUUAAAGUUGUUGCAGUUAAAAAGCUCGUAGUUGGACCUUGGGCCUGGACGGGCGGCCCGCCUCACGGCGUGUACUGUCUUGCCGGGCCUUUCCUCUUGGUGAUCUGUUGUUUCGGCAGCAGGGAACCAGGACCUUUACUUUGAAAAAAUUAGAGUGUUCAAAGCAGGCUCGACGCCGGAAUAUAUUAGCAUGGAAUAAUAAAAUAGGACGUGCGGUUCUAUUUUGUUGGUUUUUGGAAUCGCCGUAAUGAUUAAUAGGGACAGUCGGGGGCAUUAGUACUCACAUGCUAGAGGUGAAAUUCUUGGAUUUUGUGAAGACUAACUUCUGCGAAAGCAUUUGCCAAGGAUGUUUUCAUUAAUCAAGAACGAAGGUUAGGAUAUCGAAAACUUAGGCAAACUUGGUCAUUUAGAGGAAGUAAAAGUCGUAACAAGGUAACC